This 461-nucleotide ribosomal RNA is filed under the name uncultured bacterium. RNAcentral describes it as "partial 16S ribosomal RNA". It matches the Rfam family "Bacterial small subunit ribosomal RNA", at positions 338 to 795 of the family's 1533-position model. The record is from RNAcentral.
CCUACGGGAGGCUGUAGUGAGGAAUAUUGGUCAAUGGGCGCGAGCCUGAACCAGCCAAGUCGCGUGAGGGAAGACGGCCCUACGGGUUGUAAACCUCUUUUGCCGGGGAGCAACGGGCGCCACGUGUGGCGCCACUGAGAGUACCCGGAGAAAAAGCAUCGGCUAACUCCGUGCCAGCAGCCUCGGUAAUACGGCGGGUGCGAGCGUUAUCCGGAUUGAUUGGGUUUAAAGGGAGCGUAGAUGGGUUGUUAAGUCGGUUGUGAAAGUGGGCGGCUCAACCGUACAAUUGCAAGUGAUACUGGCAGUCUUGAGUACAGGUGAGGUAGGCGGAAUGCGUGGUGUAGCGGUGAAAUGCUUAGAGAUCACGAAGAACUCCGAUUGCGAAGGCAGCUUACGAAACGGCCACUGACAUUGAUGCUCGAAAGUGUGGGUAUCAAACAGGAUUAGAUACCCGGGUAGUC